UCAAACCAUUAGCAAGAUAAAGUUUGCCGACAUUGAGAAAAGGCCUACUCGGGUACCAAGGCCACCUCCUAAACCAUCAGGUGGUGGUUCUGUUAGCACAAACUCAAAUCCUGCGAAUGGAAUACCAUCUGCUCCAUCCAUUCCUCCUCCUCCUCCUCGUCCACCAGGCGGACCUCCUCCUCCACCAGGUGGACCGCCUCCUCCACCGCCUCCUCCAAGAGGCCUAUCAAAAGGAGCAGCGGAUGACGACAAAGUUCACCGUGCUCCACAGUUAGUUGAAUUUUAUCAAUCAUUGAUGAAACGGGAAGCAAAGAAGGAUACUUCUUCCUUGUUAGUUUCUUCAA
RNAcentral lists this long non-coding RNA (344 nucleotides) under Medicago truncatula (barrel medic). RNAcentral describes it as "long non-coding RNA (MTRU_LNC003222)". Lineage: Eukaryota; Viridiplantae; Streptophyta; Magnoliopsida; Fabales; Fabaceae. The record is from RNAcentral.